RNAcentral lists this ribosomal RNA (427 nucleotides) under uncultured bacterium. Its description in RNAcentral is "bacterial SSU rRNA". It matches the Rfam family "Bacterial small subunit ribosomal RNA", at positions 355 to 774 of the family's 1533-position model. The record is from RNAcentral.
UGGGGAAUAUUGGACAAUGGGGGCAACCCUGAUCCAGCAAUGCCGCGUGUGUGAAGAAGGCCUUCGGGUUGUAAAGCACUUUUAUCGGGAACGAAACAUUGUCGGCCAAUACCCGGCAAGACCGACGGUACCCGAGGAAUAAGCACCGGCUAACUCCGUGCCAGCAGCCGCGGUAAUACGGAGGGUGCGAGCGUUAAUCGGAAUUACUGGGCGUAAAGGGUGCGCAGGCGGUCUUGCAAGUCAGAUGUGAAAGCCCCGGGCUUAACCUGGGAAUUGCGUUUGNAACUACAAGGCUAGAGUGCAGCAGAGGGGAGUGGAAUUCCAUGUGUAGCAGUGAAAUGCGUAGAGAUGUGGAAGAACACCGAUGGCGAAGGCAGCUCCCUGGGUUGACACUGACGCUCAUGCACGAAAGCGUGGGGAGCAAACA